Molecule: long non-coding RNA, 570 nt
Filed under: Mytilus galloprovincialis (Mediterranean mussel)
Lineage: Eukaryota; Metazoa; Mollusca; Bivalvia; Mytilida; Mytilidae
Source: RNAcentral
GUUCCCUGUUACACACACUCUUUGGCUUAAAUUCUCUCACACUGAAAUGAGUUUGUAUGACCUUUAAAAAUAUUUAAAAUCAAAACGGACCCUGGUUUUUAUAGUUACGACGUGACUGAUAUUAAAGCAAUAUUUCACCUAAAAAUAGACUUCUCGGGUAUUUAGCAGGGUCAGAUACAGUCAUUGUAAAAAGGGGUAGGGCUUUCCAACCCGGGAUAAAGCGGGUGUUCUCAAUAUAUGUCCAUAUCCAAAGUCAUUACUCGGCAAAUUUGGAAGGUUUCAACUCCAGGACACUAAUUUUUAUAUCUUUAUUUUUGCUGUCAAUUGUUCCACAUCAGUUUCUACGUCAGUUCCCCAUUAUUCUCAUUUCAAUUAAGUAAACCCCAUCUAGAUCUCCUUACAUGUUUGUGAAUGUACAAGUGAUACACGCAAACUGUAUAUUUAAGCAUGUUUAAAACAAUACUUGAGUAAAACAAAAUCAGUUUUAAAUAGGUUAUUGAUCUGAAAAUUAGAAAUUACUCAGAUAUAAGUUAUUCAUUCUGGACCCAUGUUAAUCUUUUUUGUCUGAAU